GGGGCCUUAGCUCAGCUGGGAGAGCGCCUGCUUUGCACGCAGGAGGUCAGCGGUUCGAUCUAGGCUCCA
This 69-nucleotide transfer RNA is filed under the name Enterococcus faecium. Its description in RNAcentral is "tRNA-Ala". It matches the Rfam family "tRNA". Rfam says of the family: Transfer RNA (tRNA) molecules are approximately 80 nucleotides in length. The record is from RNAcentral. Lineage: Bacteria; Bacillati; Bacillota; Bacilli; Lactobacillales; Enterococcaceae.